Molecule: ribosomal RNA, 594 nt
Filed under: Triticum aestivum (bread wheat)
Lineage: Eukaryota; Viridiplantae; Streptophyta; Magnoliopsida; Poales; Poaceae
Description: partial small subunit ribosomal RNA
Source: RNAcentral
AUGAGUAUGGUCCUGCUGCUUAUCCUAAUGAGCAUAGAAAAAAACAAGGGUAUUCAGGAUGAUCCUCUUGAAUUGUUCUACAAUCUGAUAGAGUCACUCAUUGAUGAACAAAAGAACACAAUCAGAAAAAUGGGCCUUGGUUCUUUGUUGGAAUUAAAGUGUUCUUUUUCUCCUAUUGGAAUAUACCAUUGGCUUGCAUUCCAUUUUGAUACAGUCACAAGAACAAUUAAUCUUGAAAACAGUUUCUUAUUCAACAUCACACCCAAUACUAUCCAGAUUGUGUUAGGAAUACCAAUGGGCAAGAAAAUUCUUGACAAGAAUUGUUCUACAGAAAAUUACAUUUUGGUUCAUGAUAUCAUAAAGUGGGAAGGAAAUUCUCCAUCUGUGAAAGACUUGUGUUCAAUGAUAAAACCAGACAUGCAAAUUGAUAUGUUUACAAAGACAUUCUUUCUUCUUGCGAUGGCUUCAUUUCUGUGCCCUUCUUCAGAUAGCCUAGCAAGCUCACAAUAUUACAGUGUUGCACUGAUGCUGGACUGCCUUAGUGACUUUAAUCUAUGCUCAUUUGUUCUUGAAUGGUUGACUGUUGAAAUUUAA